Cryptomeria japonica (Japanese cedar) is the source of this 2867-nucleotide RNA transcript. RefSeq lists it as uncharacterized. Lineage: Eukaryota; Viridiplantae; Streptophyta; Pinopsida; Cupressales; Cupressaceae. The transcript is spliced from 16 exons. The record is from RefSeq and is a predicted model, not a curated record.
UUAUCGCUGAAUAUUUUUUAUUCUAAAAAUGAACCCGAAUUUUGGGAUAGGUCAAAUCCAUUUUCGCCUGUUAAAUGCCCUGCAUAUUCGUGUUCUCCGGGCCGGAGAACUCUGUUAGGGUCUCCUCACAUUGUUUCUGUCGCUGCGAACAAUCAUAGUGAAAAAUAAGGAGGAAAAAGAGUUUGGAAUUGCAAUGGAGAUCGAGAAAGCAGUUUCGGAGAGCGGCGACAAAAGAUUGCAGGCAAAAUUCAAGCAAUCAAUUUACGUCAUUCAAAGAACUCUUUCGCUUUAUUCGUUUGAUGAAGUUGCCUUUAGUUUUAAUGGCGGGAAAGACUCAACGGUUUUGCUGCAUCUUCUGCGGGCAGGCUAUGCCUCUGUGGAAGCAAUGGGAGUAAGAGACAGUGAACAUGUACAGUCUAAACCAAAUCACCCAAUAAGGACAAUCUAUUUUGAGAGUCCUGGGGCAUUUCCAGAAAUCAAUGCAUUCACAUAUGAGACUGCAGAAACCUAUAACUUGCAGAUGGAAAUAAUUCGGCUUGACUUUAAGUCAGGUCUAGAGGCAUUGCUAAAACGAAAUCCUGUCAAAGCAAUCUUCCUUGGUACUCGUAUUGGCGACCCUAAUGCGGUUGGACAGGAACAGUUUUCCCCAAGCUCUGCAGGAUGGCCACCUUUCAUGAGAGUGAAUCCAAUUUUGGAUUGGUCAUACAGAGACGUAUGGGCCUUUCUUCUUACUUGCAAGGUCCCAUAUUGCAAGCUUUAUGAUCAAGGAUAUACCUCGAUUGGGAGUGUUCAUGACACAGUACCAAAUGGAUUGUUGUGCAUUGAGAACUCAUCUGGACUCAAGGAAAAAUUUAGACCUGCAUAUUUAUUGGCUGAUGGAAGGUUGGAAAGAGCAGGAAGGAUGAAAAGGUCAUCCUUUAGAGGUCGUGAUACUAAGGUGGCUAUAAGCAAUGGAAUGAAUGAUGCUUUGCCUUCUGAUAAUAGCACAUUAGUGGCAUCAAUAAUUGGUGUAGGGGAUGAGAUUCUGCAAGGUGCUGUAGAGGAUCACCUUGGAUCUUCCUUGAGCAGGAAGCUUCACUCCAUAGGUUGGGCAGUCAACUAUCGCGCAGUGGUUCCAAAUGAUAUUGAUGCCAUAUCUGAAGCAGUUGAACAGCGGAUUCAAGCUAGCGAUAUGGUGUUUAUCUUUGGUGGUGUGGGACCUAUUCAUUCUGAUGUUUCGGUGGCUGGAGUUGCAAAAGCUUUUGAUGUUCGCUUGGCACCUGAUGAGGAAUUUGAAGAGUAUCUUAGACAGUUUGUAGGCUCUGAUUAUGCUGGUGAUCAGAAUGAGAUGGCUCGGCUACCUGAGGGUAUAACUGAAUUGUUGCACCAUGAUGAGCUACCUGUUCCUCUGAUCAAAUGUCGGAAUGUUAUUGUUCUUUCUGCAACAACUGUUCCUGAAUUGGACCUGCAGUGGGACUGUUUAUUAGAAUUGCAAAAAGACAACAAUCUUUUGCAAGUGAAGCCACCUUAUGUGUCAAAAUACUUGCGGACAACAGUCGCAGAACCUGCAGCCGACGGAAAUAGGACGGGUUUCUGGUUUUGGUGCUUCGGUGGAGACUUUUGGGGGCAUUUGCAGGGUUUUGACAGCCACAACAGAUUGAAAUACUUUUUUUGGGGGGCAUUUGCAGGGUUUUGACAGCCACAGAUAUGCUAGUUACUUCAUCUUGUUGGAGAGGAUGCUUGAGGUGCAUGAUCCUCUACAGUUGAUGGUGGUGAAUCCUGAGUGGACUAGAUGGCAGGAAUCAAACUCUAUUGAAGGAAAAUCUACCAAACAAAAGAUCCUUGAUGACAAUUGGUGGUCCACUGUGAGAUACCUUUGCUCUAUCAUUUCUCCUAUUGUAGAUGUCAUCAGAUAUGCUGAUACAGACUCUCCUAGUCUUGGAGAGAUACAUGAGACAUUUGACAGUAUGCUUGGGAAGAUUAAGCAAACAAUUUCGGAUAAGGAUCCUACUUUGGAGUUCUAUGAGCAGAAUAUCAGGCCCAUUGUGACGCGAAGGUGGAACAUAAUGAACACCCCGCUUCAUAUGGCAGCCUAUGCAUUGAAUCCGGAAUGGUAUGCACCAAGGGAUGGAAGGGUGCUUCCAUGUGAUGAUGAUGAGGUUUUAGAUGGGUUCACACGGGCAAUUGAUAAGAUAUAUACAAAGGAGCAGGCUUCCAUACUUCGUGCACAAUUCCUUGACUUCACAAAUCUUCGUGGUCCUACAUUGAGUAAACCACAGGCGAGGUUGGACAUAGCCAUAUUAGCCCAAAAAGACCCUAUUGGAUGGUGGACAUGGCAUGGGAGGGAUACACCACAAUUGAAAUCACUUGCCACUCGCCUACUUUCACAGGUUGCUAGUUCGUCUGCUGCAGAGAGGAAUUGGUCCAUAUAUGGCUUUAUCCACUCUAUCAAGAGGAAUAGACUUACCUCUAGACGAGCGGAGAAGCUAGUAGCUGUGCAUAGUGCUCUUCGACUUCAGGAUCGUCAGACUCCAGAGUAUCGACAGACUCCAGCUUUGCGAUGGGAUGUUGAUCCCGAAGAUGUGGCCCAGGUUGAUGAGGAGGAGACAACACAGGGAUUGGUUGGGAUUCCAUUGGAUGAGGUGGACAUAGACCAUGAUAGUGGGAGCGACUCAGAGGACUCUGAUUUUGAUGCAAUGUUAGGAGAAGCAGUUUAGGGGCAGCAUUAUACUUUGCUUUUUUGUAUUUAGCUUCUGUUUUACUGAGUACUAUUUUGAUUUUCAUAUUGUAAUUGACAAUGCAACUAUAUGGCAGCAGUGUAGCCUUUGGGCAUUUUGACAUUUUGUAUGUUAUUUCUUUAAAGUUUAAUAUCUAUUAUGAUAUGCAUA